This 716-nucleotide ribosomal RNA is filed under the name Priestia koreensis. Its description in RNAcentral is "bacterial SSU rRNA". It matches the Rfam family "Bacterial small subunit ribosomal RNA", at positions 59 to 756 of the family's 1533-position model. Lineage: Bacteria; Bacillati; Bacillota; Bacilli; Caryophanales; Bacillaceae. The record is from RNAcentral.
CAGUCGAGCGGACUUGUUAGAAGCUUGCUUCUAACAAGUUAGCGGCGGACGGGUGAGUAACACGUGGGUAACCUGCCUGUAAGAUGGGGAUAACUCCGGGAAACCGGAGCUAAUACCGAAUAACACUUUCGCUCGCAUGAGCGGAUGUUAAAAGACGGUUUCGGCUGUCACUUACAGAUGGACCCGCGGCGCAUUAGCUAGUUGGUGAGGUAACGGCUCACCAAGGCGACGAUGCGUAGCCGACCUGAGAGGGUGAUCGGCCACACUGGGACUGAGACACGGCCCAGACUCCUACGGGAGGCAGCAGUAGGGAAUCUUCCGCAAUGGACGAAAGUCUGACGGAGCAACGCCGCGUGAGUGAUGAAGGUUUUCGGAUCGUAAAACUCUGUUGUUAGGGAAGAACAAGUAUGAGAGUAACUGCUCGUACCUUGACGGUACCUAACCAGAAAGCCACGGCUAACUACGUGCCAGCAGCCGCGGUAAUACGUAGGUGGCAAGCGUUGUCCGGAAUUAUUGGGCGUAAAGCGCGCGCAGGCGGUUCCUUAAGUCUGAUGUGAAAGCCCACGGCUCAACCGUGGAGGGUCAUUGGAAACUGGGGAACUUGAGUGCAGAAGAGGAAAGCGGAAUUCCACGUGUAGCGGUGAAAUGCGUAGAGAUGUGGAGGAACACCAGUGGCGAAGGCGGCUUUCUGGUCUGUAACUGACGCUGAGGCGCGA